RNAcentral lists this transfer RNA (679 nucleotides) under Sphingomonas sp. SLAU-14. Its description in RNAcentral is "partial contains 16S ribosomal RNA, 16S-23S ribosomal RNA intergenic spacer, and 23S ribosomal RNA". The stretch from base 165 to 238 matches the Rfam family "tRNA". The record is from RNAcentral. Lineage: Bacteria; Pseudomonadati; Pseudomonadota; Alphaproteobacteria; Sphingomonadales; Sphingomonadaceae.
UGACGAAGCGUCAGUGCUAGACACUGAAAGAGCUUCGUCAUUUCCAAAGAACAUAGCCGCCGUCCUCAUGUCCCUUCAUCACUAGAGAUUAGCGCAGUUCGCUGCGCUGAUAGCUGAGCAGGCUCAAGCGCCUCUGGCUGCUAACGCAGCCUGAUUUGGCAGCUGGGCCGGUAGCUCAGGUGGUUAGAGCGCACGCCUGAUAAGCGUGAGGUCGGAGGUUCAACUCCUCCCCGGCCCACCAGCAUUUGGUGAGGGGCUUUAGCUCAGCUGGGAGAGCGGUUGCUUUGCAAGCAUCAGGUCAUCGGUUCGAUCCCGAUAAGCUCCACCAUUUGCUGCGCAAAUGGUCUUUUGAUUUGGGUCCGCUGCAUAAGCAGCGACGGCCGUUCGGCCUUGCGAACCUUCGGUUCGUUGGAGCGCCAAUCAAGCGAUCUGCCAGAUACUCUAGUUGAUGAAGAUAGCGGUUUACCAGCCCAAGGCUGGUGAUAUGGCUCGCACAAGCGAGCCUCUUUUGACAUUGUGAAUGGGUUUUUUAAUCGAUGCCGUGGCGACAUGGUUCGGUUUUUGGUGUUUCCGCAAGGGAGCAUCCGGAAAGCGGGCGAUGUUGUACACACAAGAUUAUCUGGCUGAGUUUAAUAACCACACCGAUACAGCUUUCGACAAAUGCUACCCAGUAUGUCGU